This 261-nucleotide ribosomal RNA is filed under the name uncultured bacterium. RNAcentral's name for it is "partial 16S ribosomal RNA". It matches the Rfam family "Bacterial small subunit ribosomal RNA", at positions 1231 to 1500 of the family's 1533-position model. The record is from RNAcentral.
UGGCAGGUACAGAGGGAUGCUACCGGGCGACCGGAUGCGGAUCUCGAAAGCCUGUCCCAGUUCGGACUGGAGUCUGCAACCCGACUCCACGAAGUUGGAUUCGCUAGUAAUCGCGCAUCAGCCAUGGCGCGGUGAAUACGUUCCGGGGCCUUGUACACACCGCCCGUCAAGCCAUGGGAGCCGGGGGCGCCUGAAGUCCGGGACCGCGAGGACCGGCCUAGGGCGAAACUGGUAACUGGGGCUAAGUCGUAACAAGGUAAC